RNAcentral lists this ribosomal RNA (253 nucleotides) under uncultured bacterium. RNAcentral describes it as "partial 16S ribosomal RNA". It matches the Rfam family "Bacterial small subunit ribosomal RNA", at positions 524 to 776 of the family's 1533-position model. The record is from RNAcentral.
UACGUAGGGUGCGAGCGUUGUCCGGAAUUAUUGGGCGUAAAGGGCUCGUAGGCGGUUUGUCGCGUCGGGAGUGAAAACCUCGGGCUUAACUCGGGGCUUGCUUUCGAUACGGGCAGACUGGAGGUAUGCAGGGGAGAACGGAAUUCCUGGUGUAGCGGUGAAAUGCGCAGAUAUCAGGAGGAACACCGGUGGCGAAGGCGGCUCUCUGGAACGCAACUGACGCUGAGACGCGAAAGCGUGGGGAGCAAACAGG